Molecule: RNase P RNA, 429 nt
Filed under: Candidatus Jorgensenbacteria bacterium
Lineage: Bacteria; Candidatus Joergenseniibacteriota
Description: RNase P RNA component class A
Rfam family: Bacterial RNase P class A
About the family: Ribonuclease P (RNase P) is a ubiquitous endoribonuclease, found in archaea, bacteria and eukarya as well as chloroplasts and mitochondria. Its best characterised activity is the generation of mature 5'-ends of tRNAs by cleaving the 5'-leader elements of precursor-tRNAs.
Source: RNAcentral
ACGGUAAGCCAAGCGACAGCUCUAAUUUUAAAAAUUAGAGAGGAAAGUCGGGACACCUGCUUUUUAAAAAGCAACGUAGCGGUGAAAAACCGCCUGGCGAAAGCCAAGAGGUGCGAACAGAGACGUUAAGAUUCGAAAGAAUCUUAACAUCCUGAUUUUAGGGAUGAGUCCUUAAGGUAACUUAAGGAGUGAAACGGCUAAAUCCUUACGGGGUGCAAGGUCGUGCCCCGCCCCACUUUUUGAUUCCAACUGCUCAAAAAUUUAAAGUUUUUUUAUAUUUCAAAAUCUUAAAAAUGAAAAUAUUUUUGGUCGCAAAAAGUGGGGCGGGGAGUGCCGCUUGAGCCUGCGAGCAAUCAAAGGCCCAGACAAAUUGUCGCUUAAUCCCCUUUUGGGGAGGAUACAGAAUCCCGCUUAUGGCUUACCAAAAAU